RNAcentral lists this ribosomal RNA (206 nucleotides) under uncultured bacterium. Its description in RNAcentral is "partial 16S ribosomal RNA". It matches the Rfam family "Bacterial small subunit ribosomal RNA", at positions 524 to 730 of the family's 1533-position model. The record is from RNAcentral.
UACGUAGGGUGCAAGCGUUGUCCGGAAUUAUUGGGCGUAAAGAGCUCGUAGGCGGUUUGUCGCGUCUGCUGUGAAACGCGAGGCUCAACCUCGCGCCUGCAGUGGGUACGGGCAGACUAGAGUGCGGUAGGGGAGAUUGGAAUUCCUGGUGUAGCGGUGGAAUGCGCAGAUAUCAGGAGGAACACCGAUGGCGAAGGCAGAUCUCC